Molecule: long non-coding RNA, 673 nt
Organism: Carya illinoinensis
Lineage: Eukaryota; Viridiplantae; Streptophyta; Magnoliopsida; Fagales; Juglandaceae
Exons: 3
Source: RefSeq, a predicted model, not a curated record
CGCUUGAUGUGGCAUGCUCCCGUGGCAUUAGUUUAAUAUUAAAAAAAAUUUUGAAUCACUGCUUCCUUUCACUUUGUUCUUCUCUCCCGAAACAAAACCUAACUCCUCUCCACUUCGUAGCAUUUUGGACUACCCUGGGCGAACGUCAGCCUCCCGAAUCUUCCUUUCUGGCUCAUAAAAUUUUUUUGAAUCAGUCGGCUUUUCUUCUUCUCUCCUGAGCUUCGAAUCAGUGAAAAUGGAAGGUGUGCCUACAUGGUGUGAAGUGGGGUGCCAGGAUGCAACAGGCUAGAGAUUGACACUAUCGUGUGUUCUUAGUGGGAUCACCAUGGAAAUUCCUCAUCUUCAAGAAAGCAGACAUUCUUUGUCUUUGUAUUUUCUUGCCCCAGUGAAUAUACAGUGGUUGCUGUUGCAUUGAUAGAUAAUGCUAAUGACAUCCUCAGGGCUCGAGCACGGACUGAUUCCCUUGAUGAGCCAAUUUUCUGUUGGGGACCUCCAUAUAAUGGCUGUUUUUCUGAGAAAUGUAUGACCUAAGUCUGUGUAUUGGUUUGUAAAUCGAUGUCUAGAACAUUUUCCAUCCUUUUUUUUUUUUUGGUUCUUGUCAGAGUUUUCUUUAGUACUUAAUCAUGAAUAAAUUGCCACUUUUUGCACGUAAAAGAAAUUGAUUGUUAGAUAA